UACGCAGGGUGCAAGCGUUAUUCGGAAUUACUGGGCGUAAAGCGUGCGCAGGCGGCCAUGCAAGACAGAUGUGAAAUCCCCGGGCUCAACCUGGGAACUGCAUUUGUGACUGCAUGGCUAGAGUACGGCAGAGGGGGAUGGAAUUCCGCGUGUAGCAGUGAAAUGCGUAGAUAUGCGGAGGAACACCGAUGGCGAAGGCGAUCCCCUGGACCUGUACUGACGCUCAUGCGCGAAAGCGUGGGGAGCAAACAGG
RNAcentral lists this ribosomal RNA (253 nucleotides) under uncultured bacterium. Its description in RNAcentral is "partial 16S ribosomal RNA". It matches the Rfam family "Bacterial small subunit ribosomal RNA", at positions 524 to 776 of the family's 1533-position model. The record is from RNAcentral.